UGGGGAAUCUUCCGCAAUGGACGAAAGUCUGACGGAGCAACGCCGCGUGAGUGAAGAAGGUUUUCGGAUCGUAAAACUCUGUCUUUUGGGGCGAACGUGAGUAUGGUGAACAAUCAUAGUCAGUGACGGUACCAAAGGAGGAAGCCACGGCUAACUACGUGCCAGCAGCCGCGGUAAUACGUAGGUGGCAAGCGUUGUCCGGAAUUAUUGGGCGUAAAGAGCGCGUAGGCGGGAUAGUCAGUCUGUUGUAAAAGUGCGGGGCUCAACCCCGUGAUGGCAAUGGAAACAGCUAUUCUUGAGUGCAGGAGAGGAAAGUGGAAUUCCCAGUGUAGCGGUGAAAUGCGUAGAUAUUGGGAGGAACACCAGUGGCGAAGGCGACUUUCUGGACUGUGUCUGACGCUGAGGCGCGAAAGCCAGGGGAGCGAACGGGAUUAGAUACCCCGGUAGUCCUGGCCGUAAACGAUGGGUACUAGGUGUGGGAGGUAUCGACCCCUUCCGUGCCGGAGUUAACGCAAUAAGUACCCCCGCCUGGGGAGUACGGUCGCAAGACUGAAACUU
RNAcentral lists this ribosomal RNA (558 nucleotides) under uncultured bacterium. Its description in RNAcentral is "partial 16S ribosomal RNA". It matches the Rfam family "Bacterial small subunit ribosomal RNA", at positions 355 to 902 of the family's 1533-position model. The record is from RNAcentral.